This 406-nucleotide ribosomal RNA is filed under the name uncultured bacterium. RNAcentral describes it as "partial 16S ribosomal RNA". It matches the Rfam family "Bacterial small subunit ribosomal RNA", at positions 30 to 526 of the family's 1533-position model. The record is from RNAcentral.
AUUGAACGCUGGCGGCAGGCCUAACACAUGCAAGUCGGACGAGUGGCGGAAGGGUGAGUAAUGUCGGGGGAACUGCCUGAUGGAGGGGGAUAACGACUGGCAACGGUAGCUCAUACAGCAUACCAACAGCUGAACCCAUAUGGGAUUGGAUAGUAUGUGAGGUAAAGGCUCACCUAGGCGACGAUCCCUAGCUGGUCUGAGAGGAUGAUCACCCACACGGGGCCUGAUACACGGCCCAGACGCCUACGGUAGGCAGCAGUGGGUAAUAUUGCACACUGGGCGCAAGCCUGAUGCAUCCAUGCCGCGUGUAUGAAGAAGGCCUUCGGGUUGUAAAGUACUUUCAGUCGUGAGGCGUUACCGACAGAAGAAGCACCGGCUAACUCCGUGCCAGCAGCCGCGGUAAUAC